This 503-nucleotide ribosomal RNA is filed under the name uncultured bacterium. RNAcentral's name for it is "partial 16S ribosomal RNA". It matches the Rfam family "Bacterial small subunit ribosomal RNA", at positions 29 to 507 of the family's 1533-position model. The record is from RNAcentral.
ACGAACGCUGGCGGCGUGCUUAACACAUGCCAGUCGAACGGUGAAGCGCUUGCCUUUUUGGUGGGUGUGGAUGAGUGGCGAACGGGUGAGUAACACGUGAGUAACCUGCCCUCUUCUUCUGGAUAACCUCAUGAAAGUGGGGCUAAUACGGGGUAUUCCGGGUCUGUCGCAUGGCGGGUUUGGGAAAGAUUGCGCCUUUGGGUGUUUUCGGUGGGGGAUGGGCUCGCGGCGUAUCAGCUUGUUGGUGGGGUGAUGGCCUACCAAGGCGGUGACGGGUAGCCGGCCUGAGGGGGUGGACGGCCACACUGGGACUGAGACACGGCCCAGACUCCUGCGGGAGGCAGCAGUGGGGGAUAUUGCACAAUGGGCGCAAGCCUGAUGCAGCGACGCCGCGUGAGGGAUGGGGGCCUUCGGGUUGUGAACCUCUUUCGCCAGUGAAGCAGGCCUGCUCCUGUGUGGGUGGGUUGACGGUAGCUGGAUAAGAAGCGCCGGCUAACUACGUG